RNAcentral lists this long non-coding RNA (2364 nucleotides) under Rhinolophus ferrumequinum (greater horseshoe bat). RNAcentral's name for it is "lncRNA (ENSRFEG00010020820.1)". The stretch from base 2160 to 2232 matches the Rfam family "tRNA". The record is from RNAcentral. Lineage: Eukaryota; Metazoa; Chordata; Mammalia; Chiroptera; Rhinolophidae.
AUGGACAGAUUCUGGAUGACCCCUGGCCGACUCUCCCUUCCGGCAGCUCUGGUCCUGUGGCCAGUUCAGGCCCAUCCCUUGGCCCAGAGGAAGCCGUGGCUGGUGGGGCUGGGGGCCGUUCUGGCUUUCCUCUUCCUCAUCUUCGUCCUCACCGUGGUCUACGCCAUCUGGUGCAGUGAGUCUCGAGACAGUAAUAAAGAGAAGGAAGAAGAGACUGUGAGAAAGGAGGAAAAGGAAGAAGAGGGUGACUGGGGGCUGGAGCUGGAGGAGAAAGAGGAGCCUCCAAACCAUGCAAGAAAGAUGAGCUCCUCAUGAGGGCUUCCCGCUCACCUCCUCCAGGCAGCACCCAGGAUGCACCAAUACCUGCUCUGCACCCUAGAUGCAAAGACCUGGUCCUGGGGCGUGAAAUGACUCCACCAGGGUGGAGUGUCCCUGAACGAAGAAGGCCCAGGACAAACCCCAAGUCCCUCCUAGAGGGCUGUUUGCAUGUUUCCUAGGCAUUACACACCCCCUUCCAAAGCUUGGUCUCCAUCUGGUAAUUCUCAAGCUCAGCGGGCAGGCACCCCUGGAUGAGGAGCUCAUCACAUCCCCGACACCCCCACCAUCUCAUAUCUCUACCCAAUCUGCGCUGCAGCCAUCUUCUUAACCCACUGCCUGAUUUCUUUUCCCACCUUUCUGCUGCCCUUUGGGAUUCACCAUAGAAUCCAGCUCUUCUCCUGCUCUCCUACCUCCAAAAUCUUUCAAGGUCCUGCUCCAACGAGUCCAUAGGCCAGCCCCUUUCCUGGCCUCGGUAUGUGUCUCUGUCACAUGGGAGCUGGGGGAAUCCCCACCACAUCUUGCUCAAGCCCCCUUUUCACAGGCAAGAGGGAAGGUGGGGAGAAACCGUGCAAACAGUCCUGCCAGUCUGCAGGGCCCGGGGCAGAGCCAACACUCCUCGUGCAACCUCCCUUUUGCUGCUCCUGAACUUGAACUUUGAGCAGGCUCAGCACCACGCUGUUCCCUGGGAGAUGAGGGCCCCUCCCACUGUAUGCUGAGUUUCAGGGCCCUGUCCUGGACGUUAUAACACUCAGGAGCUGGAUGUGGGGUGCACAGCAUCAUCACCCCACUCUUCCUGUCCUGCAUGCCUGGUGGUGGCUCCGCAGAGAACGAGUUGGAAUCCCAACUUUCUUGCUGUGUGGCCUGGGACAAGUAACUUAACCUCUCUGUGCCUGUGUCUUGUUCUGUAAAAAGGGAAGAAAAUAACUAUUCUUUCAGAAGUCUUCAUGAGGAUUAAAUGCAAUGAUGUCUACAAAAAUCCUGAGCACAGAACCCAAAAAGCAUUAAUAAAUGUCAGCUUUUUGUUAUGCUGAAAUUAAGAUUGGGCAGAGCGAAUGAACCUCCCCCCCACAGACUAGGGAGAUUCUGAAGGUUAGGGGGUGUGUUUUCAGAUCGCACCUCUGGGAGUGCAGGAAUUUCCUGCCUCCUCUCUUCUGUGCUCAGUCUGGGGGUUCCCGGUGGGUGGGGUGCUGGGGAGAGGAGGGAAGGGAGAAGGGGCUGUUCCGGCGGCACUUCCCCGCUAGGGGGAGUCUGGGAAAUUUAGGGGGGCGUCUUUUGGGUUGUCGCAAGCAAGCCCCCUUUUAUGGCAUUUAGUGGGGACCCAGGAAUGGCAAACAUCCUGCAGUGCUGGGGCAGCACCUCAAAGCAAAGAAUUGCUUCAUCCUAGGGGCCAAUGGCUGAAAAACACUGAGGCUUUCCUCGAGAUCAAAGGCCAGAUUGACUCCCCCAACCCGACUUAGCUCCGACCCCACUGAGCCCUCCCCCAACCACACCUAAGCCCUCUUCGGCUGAGCACCUGACCCCAGCUGAGCUCCUCACUCCGCAAAAGCAGCUCCUACGAGUGUCCCCCAUUCUGGCUACAGUGAGGGUCGGGACCGUGGGCUUGCGGGCGGAGGCGGGUGGGGGCCACCAGCUCACCUCUCCGCCCAGAACCUGGUUUCUUGGUCCAGGUCCCCCGUUUGGCCACAAGGGGGCGCCAGAACAUAGAGGCUGCGGGAAGGAGCAAGGGCCCAUCUUUGGAGUGGGAAGGAUUGGAGCCAUCAGGGGCAUUGGGGAGGGGUGUGGGGGAAGGGCCUGGACCCAGAGCUCACCCAAAGUCGCCAUCUAAAGCAGGUGUCUCUGGCGGGCAGUUGGCUCAGUUGGUAGAGCGCAGUGCUCAUAACACCGAGGUCACGGGUUCGAUUCCCACAUAGGCCAGUGAGCUGCGCCCUCCACAACUAGAUUGAAAAAUGACUUGCCUUGGAGCUGAGCUGUGCCCUCCACAACUAGACUGAAAACGACUUGGAGCUGAUGGGUCCUGGAAAAACACACUGUUCCCCGAUAUUCCCC